GGCUAGUUUUGUUCUAUAAGCACAUAUAAGCUCCACCUGAAACGCCCUUGGUGAAGCAGUCGUGUCUGCUGCUCUGGCUUUUGUGCCGGCUGGGAGAGACUAGGUCUGGAGUUCCUACGGCUCCUUGAGUUUUCUUCCAGGCUCUUGGCUCACACCUUGCCUACCCCGGGUUCAGUGAAUGGUGAGAUACAGCAAGGCCGGAGGAAGGUCCACCAGUGCUCUGCUGGCCUCUCUACAAAGUACUAAAGCUUGCUUUGCAGAUUGCAAUCAAAGAAUCUCAAAAACAAAGAAUGCCACCAUCAGUACACAGGAAAAAUGGGGAGAAGAAAGAUGCCAUUGCAAAGACCAACAGGGUCCUCUCUCUGAGUGACGAGCCACCCACGCCUCCCCGCACCGCUCUGCUCCUCCCGCGGCUCCCGGAGGGAAGCCGAGGCGCCGCAGAGGGAGCCCGAGGCGACCCUGGAUCGAACCCCAAGCCUACGAGGUUCCAAGACCCCGGUCACCCGGCCUGUGCGCGCCCGCUCGCUUCCCCGGCCCCGCCGCGCGCCGCAGGAGCCGGGCCGGCCGGCGCUGCGUUUCCAGCCGCGUCUGCCCUAGCGCGGCACGUGCUCCCGGCGCGGGCCUGAGAG
Bos taurus (domestic cattle) is the source of this 629-nucleotide long non-coding RNA. Lineage: Eukaryota; Metazoa; Chordata; Mammalia; Artiodactyla; Bovidae. The record is from Ensembl.